This 266-nucleotide signal recognition particle RNA is filed under the name Melghirimyces profundicolus. RNAcentral's name for it is "Bacterial large signal recognition particle RNA". It matches the Rfam family "Bacterial large signal recognition particle RNA". Rfam says of the family: The signal recognition particle (SRP) is a universally conserved ribonucleoprotein involved in the co-translational targeting of proteins to membranes. Lineage: Bacteria; Bacillati; Bacillota; Bacilli; Caryophanales; Thermoactinomycetaceae. The record is from Rfam by way of RNAcentral.
CCGCGCUAGAUGGGGAGCUGGCGGUGCCCUGUACCCGCAAUCCGCCUUAGCGGGAUCGAAUUCCCGGCAGAGGUCCUCAUCGUGUGGGGUCCGGUCCGUGCAAGAGGUGUUGACGAACAGGUCCUGCGCAACGGGAACCUCCGAACCGUGUCAGGUCCUGACGGAAGCAGCACUAAGGGGAUCCUCCCGUGUGCCGCGGGGGUGCCUGAUCCGAGCUGAUUGCAUGGAGCCCGCCCAGGCGAAGGAGAUCGAAGCCGGGUGCGCGG